CAUGUCUAAGUAUAAGCAAUUAUACCGCGAAACUGCGAAUGGCUCAUUAUAUAAGUUAUCGUUUAUUUGAUAGCACAUUACUACAUGGAUAACUGUGGUAAUUCUAGAGCUAAUACAUGCUAAAAAUCCCGACUUCGGAAGGGAUGUAUUUAUUAGAUUAAAAGCCAACGCCCUUCGGGGCUUCCUGGUGAUUCAUAAUAACUUUUCGAAUCGCAUGGCCUUGUGCCGGCGAUGGUUCAUUCAAAUUUCUUCCCUAUCAACUUUCGAUGCGAAGGUAUUGUCUUCGCAUGGUUGCAACGGGUAACGGAGGGUUAGGGCUCGACCCCGGAGAAGGAGCCUGAGAAACGGCUACUACAUCCAAGGAAGGCAGCAGGCGCGCAAAUUACCCAAUCCCGACACGGGGAGGUAGUGACAAUAAAUACUGAUACAGGGCUCUUUUGGGUCUUGUAAUCGGAAUGAGUACAAUUUAAAUCCCUUAACGAGGAACAAU
Molecule: ribosomal RNA, 490 nt
Filed under: Petriella sordida
Lineage: Eukaryota; Fungi; Ascomycota; Sordariomycetes; Microascales; Microascaceae
Description: SSU rRNA
Rfam family: Eukaryotic small subunit ribosomal RNA
Source: RNAcentral